Chelonia mydas (Green sea turtle) is the source of this 122-nucleotide long non-coding RNA. RefSeq lists it as uncharacterized. The transcript is spliced from 3 exons. NCBI's taxonomy places the organism in Eukaryota, Metazoa, Chordata, Testudines, Cheloniidae. The record is from RefSeq and is a predicted model, not a curated record.
AAAAUAAAUAAAUAUAUACAUCAGACAUGCCAAAUCUGCAGAAAAAACUCAGAAAUUGGGCUUGUUUUGGCUUAAUUGGCUUCUGAGUUGCUUGUUGGCUAGUUUUUGGCUUGUAGCUUGUU